This 79-nucleotide microRNA precursor is filed under the name Nomascus leucogenys (northern white-cheeked gibbon). RNAcentral's name for it is "miRNA (ENSNLEG00000023792.2)". Lineage: Eukaryota; Metazoa; Chordata; Mammalia; Primates; Hylobatidae. The record is from RNAcentral.
AAGGAGGAGCAAGAGGAAGAAAUGGCUGGUUCUCAGGUGAAUGUGUCCCAGCUCAGGGGUGAUGUUCUCUUUUCGUUCU